UGGGGAAUAUUGGACAAUGGGCGAAAGCCUGAUCCAGCAACGCCGCGUGCGGGACGAAGGCCUUCGGGUCGUAAACCGCUGUCAGAUGGGACGAAGGAAUCGUGGUUAAUAUCUGCGGUUCUUGACGGUACCUUCAGAGGAAGCCCCGGCUAACUCCGUGCCAGCAGCCGCGGUAAUACGGAGGGGGCGAGCGUUAUUCGGAAUCAUUGGGCGUAAAGGGCGCGUAGGCGGCUCGAUAAGGUUCAAGGUGAAAGCCCUCGGCUCAACCGAGGAACUGCCUUGGAUACUGUCGAGCUUGAGUCCGGAAGAGGGUGGUGGAAUUCCCGGUGUAGCGGUGAAAUGCGUAGAUAUCGGGAGGAACAUCGGUGGCGAAGGCGGCCACCUGGGCCGGUACUGACGCUGAGGCGCGAAAGCGUGGGGAGC
RNAcentral lists this ribosomal RNA (423 nucleotides) under uncultured bacterium. RNAcentral's name for it is "bacterial SSU rRNA". It matches the Rfam family "Bacterial small subunit ribosomal RNA", at positions 355 to 769 of the family's 1533-position model. The record is from RNAcentral.